GACGAACGCUGGCGGCGUGCCUAAUACAUGCAAGUCGAGCGGACGGACGAGAAGUUUGUUUCAGUCAGGCAAGCGGCGACGGGGUGGUAAACCCUUGGCAACCUUCCUUUAAGACUGGGUAAAUUCCGGGAAAACGGGGCAAAAACCGGGAAAAUCUUUUGCUCCCCUGGGGUCAAGAUUAAAAGUCGGUUCUCGCGAUACCUAUCGCUUGAUCCGCGCUGCAUUAGGUAGUUGGUAAGGUAACGGCCUACCAAGGCGACGAUGCGUAGCCGACCUGAGAGGGUGAUCGGCCACACUGGAACUGAGACACGGCCCAGACUCCUACGGGAGGCAGCAGUAGGGAAUCUUCCGCAAUGGACGAAAGUCUGACGGAGCAACGCCGCGUGAGUGAUGAAGGUGUUCGGAUCGUAAAACUCUGUUGUCAGGGAAGAACAUAUGUCGGAGUAACUGCAGAGAUCUUGACGGUACCUGAUCAGAAAGCCACGGCUAACUACGUG
Molecule: ribosomal RNA, 497 nt
Filed under: uncultured bacterium
Lineage: Bacteria
Description: partial 16S ribosomal RNA
Rfam family: Bacterial small subunit ribosomal RNA
Source: RNAcentral